UACAGGGGGGGCAAGCGUUGUUCGGAAUUACUGGGCGUAAAGGGCUCGUAGGCGGCCAACUAAGUCCGACGUGAAAUCCCCAGGCUUAACCUGGGAACUGCGUCGGAUACUGGAUGGCUUGAAUUCGGGAGAGGGAUGCAGAAUUCCAGGUGUAGCGGUGAAAUGCGUAGAUAUCUGGAGGAAUACCGGUGGCGAAGGCGGCAUCCUGGACCGACAUUGACGCUGAUGAGCGAAAGCUAGGGGAGCAAACGGG
RNAcentral lists this ribosomal RNA (253 nucleotides) under uncultured bacterium. Its description in RNAcentral is "partial 16S ribosomal RNA". It matches the Rfam family "Bacterial small subunit ribosomal RNA", at positions 524 to 776 of the family's 1533-position model. The record is from RNAcentral.